CCACCCCCAUCAGGAUGCUGACCCUGAAAUGGCCCAGUUCCAGCUGUUGUUGAUGGCUUCAUCACUUUCACAAAUAAUGACCAUGGUGCAUGGUCUAGGAAAGGAGAGGUUAUCUUCCAGACUGUUUUGCAGACAAUGGGAUUGGACUCAGUCUUACUAGAUGAAAGCUGCAGCCUGGAAGUAACUAAUUCUGUCUUUGUUGGCGAAGAUCACAGUGUUGGAUCUUGGGGAGGACAAAAAGCUCCUGGGGGAGAGGCGCCAAUGGUGAAUGUAGGACACCGCCCUGAAACGAGUUGCUGUCAGAAGUAGACAUUCAAAUGAUGUACCUUUGGAUCCAGAUUCAAUUGCUCAGGAUGGCAGAUGUAGAUGUCAGGGUGGCUUUUGAUAAGGCACUUUUGCUAUACUUGGAUAUAAAGGAGACUCCAAUCCCUUUUGGAUUAAAAGCAGCAGUCAAGCCGCUGAUCAGAAAUCCAGGUGUCUCCAAUGCUAUAACCCCCUGAGACUGAGAGUACAGAUGAUGGACGAUGUGACAAGACUUUUGGGGAACAACCCAGGAUGCAAUUCUGCAAACUCUUGAAAGCUUGCUAAAUCUGCUAUAUCCUGCAUUGCCUUAAUUGCAGGAUGGCUGCAUGAUAUCCUGAGAUGGUUGUUAAAGGCUUUUUAUUGGAAAGUGCCUUGGAAAAAUAACAUUCAUUUUACAACCAAU
Molecule: long non-coding RNA, 706 nt
Organism: Candoia aspera
Lineage: Eukaryota; Metazoa; Chordata; Lepidosauria; Squamata; Candoiidae
Exons: 5
Source: RefSeq, a predicted model, not a curated record